Molecule: ribosomal RNA, 253 nt
Filed under: uncultured bacterium
Lineage: Bacteria
Description: partial 16S ribosomal RNA
Rfam family: Bacterial small subunit ribosomal RNA
Source: RNAcentral
GACGAAGGGGGCUAGCGUUGUUCGGAAUCACUGGGCGUAAAGGGCGCGUAGGCGGCUUUAUAAGUCGGGGGUGAAAGCCUGUGGCUCAACCACAGAAUUGCCUUCGAUACUGUAGAGCUCGAGACCGGAAGAGGUAAGUGGAACUGCGAGUGUAGAGGUGAAAUUCGUAGAUAUUCGCAAGAACACCAGUGGCGAAGGCGGCUUACUGGUCCGGUUCUGACGCUGAGGCGCGAAAGCGUGGGGAGCAAACAGG